GGGCGUUUGUGCAGGUGGGAGGCUCCCCGUUCGACUCGGAUCGACCUAGAUCGACUCUCCUGCUUUGCUUCACACCGAAGAGGCCACUGGUUCGAACCCAGUAUCGCCCA
This 110-nucleotide transfer RNA is filed under the name Actinomadura luteofluorescens. RNAcentral's name for it is "tRNA-Ser". The record is from RNAcentral. Lineage: Bacteria; Bacillati; Actinomycetota; Actinomycetes; Streptosporangiales; Thermomonosporaceae.